Molecule: ribosomal RNA, 400 nt
Filed under: phytoplankton environmental sample
Lineage: Eukaryota
Description: partial small subunit ribosomal RNA
Rfam family: Eukaryotic small subunit ribosomal RNA
Source: RNAcentral
AGCUCCAUUAGCGUAUAUUAAAGUUGUUGCAGUUAAAAAGCUCGUAGUUGGAUUUCAGUACGGGCCAGUUGGUCGGCCGCAAGGCCUGUUACUGGCUGGUCUGUUCUUCUUGUCAAAGACUGCGUGUGCUCUUCGUUGAGUGUGCGUAGGAUUUGGGACGUUUACUUUGAAAAAAUUAGAGUGUUCAAGGCAGGCUUUUCAGCUUGAAUACAUGAGCAUGGAAUAAUGGAAUAGGACUACGGUCCCUAUUUCGUUGGUUUCGAGGACCGAAGUAAUGAUUAAUAGGGAUAGUCAGGGGCACUCGUAUUCCGUAGAGAGAGGUGAAAUUCUUAGACCCACGGAAGACGAACUACUGCGAAAGCAUUUGCCAGGGAUGUUUUCACUGAUCAAGAACGAAAGU